RNAcentral lists this ribosomal RNA (301 nucleotides) under uncultured bacterium. RNAcentral describes it as "partial 16S ribosomal RNA". It matches the Rfam family "Bacterial small subunit ribosomal RNA", at positions 509 to 807 of the family's 1533-position model. The record is from RNAcentral.
CAGUCGCCACGGGAAUACGGAGGGGGCUAGCGUUGUUCGGAAUUACUGGGCGUAAAGCGCACGUAGGCGGCUUGGUAAGUUAGAGGUGAAAGCCUGGAGCUCAACUCCAGAAUUGCCUUUAAGACUGCCGAGCUAGCAGGUGAGAGAGGUGAGUGGAAUUCCGAGUGUAGAGGUGAAAUUCGUAGAUAUUCGGAAGAACACCAGUGGCGAAGGCGGCUCACUGGCUCAUACUGGACGCUGAGGUGCGAAAGCGUGGGGAGCAAACAGGAUUAGAUACCCGUGUAGUCCCUGUCUCUUAUAC